Molecule: ribosomal RNA, 463 nt
Filed under: Massilia sp.
Lineage: Bacteria; Pseudomonadati; Pseudomonadota; Betaproteobacteria; Burkholderiales; Oxalobacteraceae
Description: bacterial SSU rRNA
Rfam family: Bacterial small subunit ribosomal RNA
Source: RNAcentral
UGCCGCGUGAGUGAAGAAGGCCUUCGGGUUGUAAAGCUCUUUUGUCAGGGAAGAAACGGUCGUGGCUAAUAUCCAUGGCUAAUGACGGUACCUGAAGAAUAAGCACCGGCUAACUACGUGCCAGCAGCCGCGGUAAUACGUAGGGUGCAAGCGUUAAUCGGAAUUACUGGGCGUAAAGCGUGCGCAGGCGGUUUUGUAAGUCUGUCGUGAAAUCCCCGGGCUCAACCUGGGAAUUGCGAUGGAGACUGCAAGGCUAGAAUCUGGCAGAGGGGGGUAGAAUUCCACGUGUAGCAGUGAAAUGCGUAGAGAUGUGGAGGAACACCGAUGGCGAAGGCAGCCCCCUGGGUCAAGAUUGACGCUCAUGCACGAAAGCGUGGGGAGCAAACAGGAUUAGAUACCCUGGUAGUCCACGCCCUAAACGAUGUCUACUAGUUGUCGGGUCUUAAUUGACUUGGUAACGCAG